This 447-nucleotide ribosomal RNA is filed under the name uncultured bacterium. RNAcentral's name for it is "bacterial SSU rRNA". It matches the Rfam family "Bacterial small subunit ribosomal RNA", at positions 355 to 825 of the family's 1533-position model. The record is from RNAcentral.
UGGGGAAUCUUGGACAAUGGGGGCAACCCUGAUCCAGCGAUGCCGCGUGAGUGAAGAAGGCCUUUGGGUUGUAAAGCUCUUUCACCUGUGACGAUAAUGACGGUAACAGGAGAAGAAGCCCCGGCUAACUCCGUGCCAGCAGCCGCGGUAAGACGGAGGGGGCUAGCGUUGUUCGGAAUGACUGGGCGUAAAGGGCGCGUAGGCGGUCUGUCAAGUCAGGCGUGAAAUCCUUGGGCUUAACCUGAGAAUUGCGUUUGAUACUGAUAGACUAGAGGACGAGAGAGGAAAGUGGAAUUCCGAGUGUAGAGGUGAAAUUCGUAGAUAUUCGGAGGAACACCAGAGGCGAAGGCGGCUUUCUGGCUCGUACCUGACGCUGAGGCGCGAAAGCGUGGGGAGCAAACAGGAUUAGAUACCCCUGUAGUCCCUGAGCGGGCUGGCAAGGCGCAU